Molecule: long non-coding RNA, 733 nt
Filed under: Nicotiana benthamiana
Lineage: Eukaryota; Viridiplantae; Streptophyta; Magnoliopsida; Solanales; Solanaceae
Description: long non-coding RNA (NBEN_LNC030850)
Source: RNAcentral
UGGUAAGCUUAUGCUCUUCGAUUUGUUUUUUUGUCUGCUUUCAUAAAGCUUGGAUAUUGUGUUUACAUGCUAACGAGGUUUUCCCCAUGUGGCCAAUGCUACUAGUUGUCUAAAGCUUAUGUUAUUCUAAGGCUCACCAUGUCUAAGUUUUCAGAUGCUUGGAGCAGGGAUGGAGUUCUUUUCAUCUAAGGUUGCCAUUCACAGGCACCUUGUUCCCUUUUGAUGCAUGACCAAGGGGCAGUGCAGGUGGGAUUAGGAAUAUUAAGAAGUUAUCUUUACAAGGACAAUUUGUUGCUAGUUGAGAGGGAUCUUCUCUUAGUUUACUUAAUAUUGCUCUUUUAAUUUCACGAAUGGGCACACAUUUUUGUGGAUUGGUAUGUUUGAAGCUUUGAUUGUAUCACGGCUCUAGCUUAUUUUUUAUCCAGAAUUGUGAAUUCUACAUUUUAAUGGGCUCUUUGUUGCUUUUGGUGCUUUCUAUCUUUUUGCAGCCACCAACGGAAAAGGUACAUCAGAUAAUUGCAAGGACUGCACUGUUUGUGAGCAAACAUGGUGGGCAGUCAGAAAUUGUUCUGAGGGUAAAGCAGGGAGAUAAUCCAACAGAUCUUUUUGCAGCCACCAAUGGAAAAGGUACAUCAGAUAAUUGCAAGGACUGCACUGUUUGUGAGCAAACAUGGUGGGCAGUCAGAAAUUGUUCUGAGGGUAAAGCAGGGAGAUAAUCCAACAUUUGGGUUCU